This 581-nucleotide ribosomal RNA is filed under the name uncultured Enterobacteriaceae bacterium. RNAcentral describes it as "bacterial SSU rRNA". It matches the Rfam family "Bacterial small subunit ribosomal RNA", at positions 102 to 679 of the family's 1533-position model. Lineage: Bacteria; Pseudomonadati; Pseudomonadota; Gammaproteobacteria; Enterobacterales; Enterobacteriaceae. The record is from RNAcentral.
ACGGGUGAGUAAUGUCUGGGAAACUGCCCGAUGGAGGGGGAUAACUACUGGAAACGGUAGCUAAUACCGCAUAACGUCUUCGGACCAAAGUGGGGGACCUUCGGGCCUCACACCAUCGGAUGUGCCCAGAUGGGAUUAGCUGGUAGGUGAGGUAACGGCUCACCUAGGCGACGAUCCCUAGCUGGUCUGAGAGGAUGACCAGCCACACUGGAACUGAGACACGGUCCAGACUCCUACGGGAGGCAGCAGUGGGGAAUAUUGCACAAUGGGCGCAAGCCUGAUGCAGCCAUGCCGCGUGUAUGAAGAAGGCCUUCGGGUUGUAAAGUACUUUCAGCGGGGAGGAAGGCGAUGCGGUUAAUAACCGCGUCGAUUGACGUUACCCGCAGAAGAAGCACCGGCUAACUCCGUGCCAGCAGCCGCGGUAAUACGGAGGGUGCAAGCGUUAAUCGGAAUUACUGGGCGUAAAGCGCACGCAGGCGGUCUGUCAAGUCGGAUGUGAAAUCCCCGGGCUUAACCUGGGAACUGCAUCCGAAACUGGCAGGCUUGAGUCUCGUAGAGGGGGGUAGAAUUCCAGGUGUAGC